RNAcentral lists this ribosomal RNA (856 nucleotides) under uncultured marine group I thaumarchaeote. RNAcentral describes it as "SSU rRNA". It matches the Rfam family "Archaeal small subunit ribosomal RNA", at positions 45 to 906 of the family's 1478-position model. Lineage: Archaea; Thermoproteati; Nitrososphaerota. The record is from RNAcentral.
UAAGCCAUGCGAGUCUUUGUAGUAAUACAAGGCAGACGGCUCAGUAACACGUAGUCAACCUACCCUAUGGACAAGAAUAAUCUCGGGAAACUGGGCAUAAUUCUUGAUAGAUCAUAAUGCCUGGAAUGGUUUAUGGUUAAAAUGAUUCGUCGCCAUAGGAUGGGACUGCGGCCUAUCAGCUUGUUGGUGAGGUAAUGGCCCACCAAGGCGAUUACAGGUACGGGCUCUGAGAGGAGAAGCCCGGAGAUGGGUACUGAGACACGGACCCAGGCCCCAUGGGGCGCAGCAGGCGAGAAAACUUUGCAAUGUGCGAAAGCACGACAAGGUUAAUCCGAGUGAUUUCUGCUAAAGAAAUCUUUUGCCAGUCAUAAAACCACUGGUGAAUAAGGGGUGGGCAAGUUCUGGUGUCAGCCGCCGCGGUAAAACCAGCACCUCAAGUGGUCAGGAUGAUUAUUGGGCCUAAAGCAUCCGUAGCCGGCUUUGUUAGUUUUCGGUUAAAUCCAUGUGCUCAACGCAUGGGCUGCCGAAAAUACUGCAUAGCUAGGGAGUGGGAGAGGUAGACGGUACUCAGUAGGAAGGGGUAAAAUCCUUUGAUCUAUUGAUGACCACCUGUGGCGAAGGCGGUCUACCAGAACACGUUCGACGGUGAGGGAUGAAAGCUGGGGGAGCAAACCGGAUUAGAUACCCGGGUAGUCCCAGCUGUAAACGAUGCAGACUCGAUGAUGCAUUGGCAUAAUAGCCAUUGCAGUGUCGCAGGGAAGCCGUUAAGUCUGCCGCCUGGGAAGUACGUACGCAAGUAUGAAACUUAAAGGAAUUGGCGGGGGAGCACCACAAGGGGUGAAGCCUGCGGUUCAAU